Acanthosepion pharaonis is the source of this 99-nucleotide non-coding RNA. NCBI's taxonomy places the organism in Eukaryota, Metazoa, Mollusca, Cephalopoda, Sepiida, Sepiidae. The record is from the annotation of a GenBank genome assembly.
GCUGAAACACCGGUUCUUGUCUGAUCACCAAAGUUAAGCAACAUCAAACCUGGUCAGUACCUAGAUGGGUGACUACUUAGAAAUACCGAGUGCUGUAAG